RNAcentral lists this ribosomal RNA (492 nucleotides) under uncultured bacterium. RNAcentral's name for it is "partial 16S ribosomal RNA". It matches the Rfam family "Bacterial small subunit ribosomal RNA", at positions 29 to 507 of the family's 1533-position model. The record is from RNAcentral.
AUUGAACGCUGGCGGCAUGCUUUACACAUGCAAGUCGAACGGUAACAGGCCUUCGGGUGCUGACGAGUGGCGAACGGGUGAGUAAUGCAUCGGAACGUACCCAGAGGUGGGGGAUAACGCAGCGAAAGCUGUGCUAAUACCGCAUGUGAUCUGAGGAUGAAAGCGGGGGACCGAGCAGCAAUGUUUGGCCUCGCGCCUUUGGAGCGGCCGAUGGCGGAUUAGCUAGUUGGGGGGGUAAAGGCCUACCAAGGCGACGAUCCGUAGCUGGUCUGAGAGGACGACCAGCCACACUGGGACUGAGACACGGCCCAGACUCCUACGGGAGGCAGCAGUGGGGAAUUUUGGACAAUGGGCGCGAGCCUGAUCCAGCAAUGCCGCGUGCGGGAAGAAGGCCUUCGGGUUGUAAACCGCUUUUGGCAGGAACGAAACGGUGUCCGCUAAUACCGGGCGCUAAUGACGGUACCUGCAGAAUAAGCACCGGCUAACUACGUG